This 1150-nucleotide long non-coding RNA is filed under the name Phasianus colchicus (ring-necked pheasant). RNAcentral describes it as "lncRNA (ENSPCLG00000008463.1)". Lineage: Eukaryota; Metazoa; Chordata; Aves; Galliformes; Phasianidae. The record is from RNAcentral.
AGAUCCCCAGCGGUGAGCACUGGGAAGCUCUUAAUGGGAACAUCAGUAGGAACAAGAGUAAAGGCAGCCAUUUCCCUGUGUUCCUUGUGUGUUUGGUGUAUCUUAGGUCUGCUCAUGGCGCUAGGAUCCAGUAACUCUUCCUGUUAGAAUGUGUUGCUUGGAUGUGAAGAGAUGCUAUUGAUCUGACAAUGGAGGUUGCAGAUGAAGGAGAAAAGGUUGGAAUUAAGCCGACAGCACUCAGCUGCUGUAAGGGGACUGACUUCGUUUGAUGGGCUCUGUCAUCCUCAGGAGGAAACCUUCCUCUACAAAAUGGUGAAAUGGUGCCCAUGUGGAAACAUUCUGAUUGUGCGUGUGCCUGGAGCCCGGCGUUGUUGCAGAGGAGGAGAGUGGCAUAGGAUGGCUCCAAAGAAAAGAGGGCUGCGUCAAAAAGAAAACCUCCUGCCAUGUCAGCUUGCCCAGACCUUUCUGUGAGACAGCCUUUCCCAGCUACGUUAAGGGCUGCUUCUUGUGGACUGGAAGUAUUGCCAAAGAGUGAGUGAUCCUUAUUAAUAUGCAUCUCCAAAAUCAACGGGCAGUUUUGCACAGAUCCUCUAACACGUAUCUUUGGAUUUUGAGACGUUUGAGAGCUAUUUAUUCCCUUUCACACCAAUAUCAGCCAUAGUGCGAGAUGUCUUGAGCUGAUUAAAAGUCUCUUUAAUCAAAUACUGGCAGGGGAAGUGUUCAAAACAUUAGAAGAAUGAUUUUGACAAGCUGCCCCUGCACUGUGAGUGACUUCAUCCAGAGGUUGGCCUGGCAGGCUGGCGUGUGAUACAAAGCCUCCACUCACCUUGAUUUCCAAAGCUGCCAACAAACUGCAGUGAUGAUUCUGAGAGCCAGUAGGACACUGUAGCCUUUGUUCAGUUCUUUUCUGUGAGAUACUGCCCCCCAAAAAACCAUUGUUACAGGCAAAAUCCAUCACUCCAUUCAUCAACCCUUACCUACGCUUCAAAUUCCUAUAUCCCAAAUCCAUGGGAACGAUUUUGAACGUGAAUGUAGGCUGGAAAUCAUUGCUGUGCAGAUUGUCUAGAGGCUUUUUUUCCCCUGUUCUAUGGCUGAACUAGACUUCAAAAGGAUAAAUAAAAUCCAUUCUGGAAGACCCCCCCCUGCGAGG